Long non-coding RNA from Dermochelys coriacea (leatherback sea turtle), 499 nucleotides. RefSeq lists it as uncharacterized. The transcript is spliced from 3 exons. NCBI's taxonomy places the organism in Eukaryota, Metazoa, Chordata, Testudines, Dermochelyidae. The record is from RefSeq and is a predicted model, not a curated record.
CUGCAGUCUGGGGAGGUUCCCGGAGGUGAGUCUGACCCAGUCCCAAGAGUGGCCCCUGCAGGGGAAGAGGAAGUCUCAUCCCUCUGCAGCCUGUCCAGACUAGCAUCUGGAGACGAGCACACGGUCUAUGGUGGCUUUUCUUCAAAAGGAUGCUGUGACAGAUAUGGCAAGUUCCCGCAACAUCCUGGCAAACCUUAUUGAAUUAAGUUUAAGUAUUUUAGGAGUUCAUUGCAUUAAAAAUACAAAUAUUACUGUGGACCGUAUAUAACUUCUUUAAGAGCCAUGACUAAUGUAAAUCUUAGGAAAUCUUACAAACUUCAAAGGAGUCUUUGAAACAAUGUGCUAGCUAGAUAAACAAAGGACCAGACCAGAGACCCAAAGUGGAUAAAAGAGUGACUCACAGAUUCAUGGGUGUGUUUGUUCUGAGCUAACAGCUGUUAUGAAUUUAUGAUUACAGAAAAACCCCCUUGGUGAUGGAUUUUAAUGUUCACAGGCCAGA